GCCAUCAGCAACAAAUGUGCCGCACAACAAUUGACAGUAUUAAUUGAAGAAAAUACUAGCAGUUCUAUGCAUGCAACUUUAAAAUUUUUGCGGUAAAUUUUUUAAGAUUAAACACUUUAAUCUAUUUUACAUGCAUAAGAUCUAAUCUAAACUACCAUACCAAAAUUUAUGGUAUGAUUUGAUAUGAGUUUAAGAUAUAAAAUAAAAAUCAGCAUUGAUCAUAUCGAUGCUAUUGAUUAGAUCUAACCC
This 249-nucleotide long non-coding RNA is filed under the name Elaeis guineensis (African oil palm). Its description in RNAcentral is "long non-coding RNA (EGUI_LNC012444)". The record is from RNAcentral. Lineage: Eukaryota; Viridiplantae; Streptophyta; Magnoliopsida; Arecales; Arecaceae.